Molecule: long non-coding RNA, 400 nt
Organism: Empidonax traillii (willow flycatcher)
Lineage: Eukaryota; Metazoa; Chordata; Aves; Passeriformes; Tyrannidae
Exons: 3
Source: RefSeq, a predicted model, not a curated record
UGUGAACAGAGACUGUCUGGUAUGUUCUCAGCAGCCUGAAAUUCAGGCUGCUGAACCAUGAACCCUGUCCUGGGUUCAGGUUGUUGAUGGCAAGUCAGCACACACGUGCUGUCUCUUCCCCAGCCACGGAUGGGCAGCAGCAAGAUGUUGAGGGGAAUGCUGUAGCGUACUUGGAGGUGGAGACGUGGAACUCUUGCAGCAAGAAGUGGAGGAACAGAUUGUACACAUCUGUAGGAAACCACAUUUUAGCAUUUCUGCUGUCCAAGGAACAUCUGGCAUCUGUUUGAAGGGAAGUGAAGGUAUUUAAGAGCUCAGAUGUCAUCUGUUUUCAAAGCCAGUCUGGCUUGAUGUAUAGUGUUUCUAGAAGCAAUACAUUUAGGGUGACUUCUCCUCGAAUGGG